RNAcentral lists this ribosomal RNA (513 nucleotides) under uncultured Glomus. RNAcentral describes it as "SSU rRNA". It matches the Rfam family "Eukaryotic small subunit ribosomal RNA", at positions 569 to 1086 of the family's 1831-position model. The record is from RNAcentral. Lineage: Eukaryota; Fungi; Glomeromycota; Glomeromycetes; Glomerales; Glomeraceae.
AGCAGCCGCGGUAAUUCCAGCUCCAAUAGCGUAUAUUAAAGUUGUUGCAGUUAAAAAGCUCGUAGUUGAAUUUCGGGGUCAGUAGGUUGGUCUGCCACUGGUAUGCACUGGUCUCACUGAUUCCUCCUUCCUGAUGAACCGUAAUGCCAUUAAUUUGGUGUUGCGGGAAUCUGGACUGUUACUUUAGAAAAAUUAGAGUGUUUAAAGCAGGCUAACGCUUGAAUACAUUAGCAUGGAAUAAUGAAAUAGGACGAUCGAUCCUAUUUUGUUGGUUUCUAGGAUUGACGUAAUGAUUAAUAGGGAUAGUUGGGGGCAUUAGUAUUCAAUUGUCAGAGGUGAAAUUCUUGGAUUUAUUGAAGACUAACUACUGCGAAAGCAUUUGCCAAGGAUGUUUUCAUUAAUCAAGAACGAAGGUUAGGGGAUCGAAGACGAUCAGAUACCGUCGUAGUCUUAACCAUAAACUAUGCCGACUAGGGAUCGGAUGAUGUUAAUUUUUAAUGACUCAUUCGUCCG